AGUGAACGCUGGCGGUAGGCCUAACACAUGCAAGUCGAACGGCAGCACAGUAAGAGCUUGCUCUUACGGGUGGCGAGUGGCGGACGGGUGAGGAAUACAUCGGAAUCUACUUUUUCGUGGGGGAUAACGUAGGGAAACUUACGCUAAUACCGCAUACGACCUACGGGUGAAAGCAGGGGAUCUUCGGACCUUGCGCGAUUGAAUGAGCCGAUGUCGGAUUAGCUAGUUGGCGGGGUAAAGGCCCACCAAGGCGACGAUCCGUAGCUGGUCUGAGAGGAUGAUCAGCCACACUGGAACUGAGACACGGUCCAGACUCCUACGGGAGGCAGCAGUGGGGAAUAUUGGACAAUGGGCGCAUGCCUGAUCCAGCCAUACCGCGUGGGUGAAGAAGGCCUUCGGGUUGUAAAGCCCUUUUGUUGGGAAAGAAAAGCGGCAGGUUAAUACCCCGCUGUUCUGACGGUACCCAAAGAAUAAGCACCGGCUAACUUCGUG
This 492-nucleotide ribosomal RNA is filed under the name uncultured bacterium. RNAcentral's name for it is "partial 16S ribosomal RNA". It matches the Rfam family "Bacterial small subunit ribosomal RNA", at positions 29 to 507 of the family's 1533-position model. The record is from RNAcentral.